This 433-nucleotide ribosomal RNA is filed under the name uncultured bacterium. Its description in RNAcentral is "partial 16S ribosomal RNA". It matches the Rfam family "Bacterial small subunit ribosomal RNA", at positions 29 to 507 of the family's 1533-position model. The record is from RNAcentral.
AACGAACGCUGGCGGCAUGCUUAACACAUGCAAGUCGAACGAAAAGGCCCUGCUUAGGGGCGCCCCGGUGGGGAACGCGGGGGGACCCACCCGUGGGUUCUGAACCAUUCCCUGAGAGAGGUCUUAAUAACGGAGAAUGUUAUUGGAGCAAAGAUUUCUCGCGGUUGGGUGGGGGCGCGUUGGAUUGGGUGGUUGGUAGGGUAAAAGCCUAGCAAGGCGAUGAUGGAUAGCUGGUCUGAGAGGAUGAUCAGCGACGCUGGGACUGAGACACGGCCCAGACUCGUACGGAGGGGAGAAGAGGGGAAUAUUGGAGAAUGGGCGAAGGCGUGAUCCAGCGAUGCGGCGGAAGUGAUGAAGGCCGUAGGGUUGUAAAGCUCUUUUAGACGAGAUGGUAGUGACGGUACCGGGAGAAGAAGCACCGGCCAACUACGUG